Molecule: long non-coding RNA, 326 nt
Organism: Myotis myotis
Lineage: Eukaryota; Metazoa; Chordata; Mammalia; Chiroptera; Vespertilionidae
Exons: 2
Source: RefSeq, a predicted model, not a curated record
ACCGGAGCUGAAGGGCCGCAGGAGAUUCACUGAUGACUAUGGAGGCUUCUUUCAGAGCCCUGGAUGCGUUCAUUUCUCCCUCGGCUGCAAUGACCUGUGGAACAGCAGAAGGAAGGAUCAAACUGAAGAAAACAGCAGGGCACCAAACAAAGAGACAAUUCAAAAUACUGUGUGUGGGUUGAGAAAGUGAAUGACUCUUAUGACUGCAUACACAUAUAUCUGCAAGUCAGAGAGAUCACCAAUUCUUGGAUUUCAAAGAAAGGAAAGAAGACCUUAUCGAACUGAAACAUGCUAGAUCAUUAAAAAUAUUUUUUGUGUGUGUGAAA